UAUAUAUGUGUGUAUGUGUGCAUGUACAUCUGUGUACAUAAGCAUGCCUAAAGCUACACAUACAUAAAUGUGUACAUACUAAAAAUAGA
MicroRNA precursor from Ochotona princeps (American pika), 89 nucleotides. The record is from Ensembl. NCBI's taxonomy places the organism in Eukaryota, Metazoa, Chordata, Mammalia, Lagomorpha, Ochotonidae.